RNAcentral lists this long non-coding RNA (4921 nucleotides) under Gossypium barbadense (sea-island cotton). RNAcentral describes it as "long non-coding RNA (GBAR_LNC014632)". Lineage: Eukaryota; Viridiplantae; Streptophyta; Magnoliopsida; Malvales; Malvaceae. The record is from RNAcentral.
GCAUGCCAAGAUCUUGUUGUUGUUGUUGCACUUGUUUUCAUGGUUGUUGUUGGGGCAUUUACUGUCGAAUCGUCACCUUCACCAGUCCCUUCCAAGGCAUCUUCACCUUCGAAGUCACCAUCUCAUUCUUCUCUGGCUUCAUCCCCCAAGUCCCCCUCCAUUAAGUCACCGUCACAAGACUCCAAUGGCUCAUCUUUUUCACCAUCAAAAUCCCACGAAGGAGCACCCAAGUCAUCUCAUCCUGGUGCCCCAAUGAGCUCUUCAAGCUCCUCUUCCCCUAAUCCUAGUCAAAGCGACAACCCUAACGCCAACAAAGGAUACUCUUCUGAGGUUGAGUCUCCUAUGGAGGUCUCAUCCCCUCCUUCACCAACCGCCAAUGAUGAAGUUUCUCACUCCCCUACUCCUAGCCCUGAAAGCACGAGUGAUGUUUUCGAUAGUGAGACCCUUGCACCAGCACCCUCUAAUGCCAAUGAAAUAAAGGCCACCACUUGGAUUGUCAGUGUUGUAACUCUUGUUAGACUCGUCCUCUUUUAAGCUUCACAUGCAUAAGUUCAUGGAAGGCCUUGAGAUGUGCUUUCUAGUUACCUUUAAUUUUUAUUAUAAAAAAGUCCUAUUUAUAUGCUAAUUAAAAUUGUACUUUUGAGGCCUGGAAUAAAAUUUAUAAUAUAUAAUUUUUAAUUAAUGUACUAAUAGUGAAUCAAAACCUGUAAAUAUCUAGCAUUAAAUAAGUUCGAAGCACUGAUUAAGCUUGUUUAAGAAUUUUCAUGCUUAAGGUCUAACUUGAGGUAGUUAAAGCUUGUCCGUAUUCAAGCUCAAGCUUAGCCUAAUAAUUACGUUUAGGUUAAUAAUAUAUACUAAAGAUGAUAACAUAUUUUAAUAAUAUAAAAACAUUUAAAAUAUAUAUUAAAAAUAAAAGUCUCGAUAAGGCUCACGAGCUAUUCAAGCAAGUAUUUUGUAAUAGCCUAAUUUUAGGGUUAGUCAAGAUAGUGGUUUUUGGACCACAAUAUGAGGUCAAAAUAAUUAUUUUAUUAUUUUAUUAAUGUUUACAGUAUCAUAGAAUGUUCGUGUAAAAAUUUCGUAAAGAGAUUUUAUCGUUUAAGUGUUUAAUUGGUAAAAAGGACUAAAUCGCUUAAAGCGUAAAAAUUGAGUUCUAAUAGCUAAAAGUGUUUAAAUUCUCUAGAAUUUAAAGGAGGAAGUCCUUAUGUGUUAAUUAGUCCAAUUAUGAGAUAGUGGCUGAAAAUGGUUUGGUAAUGUGGUAAAUUGAAUUGAUUUUUAAGGUUAAAUUUGUAAUAUGGUAAUUAAGUAAAGUAAAAAUAAAAUAAACAAAGGUGUCAUCUUCCACCCAUUAUAUUUCCACCAAAAAAUGAGAAAGAAAACACCAUGGAUAUGGCUUCAAAGGUUUGGCCAUCUUAAGAUUAAAUUGUAAGUUCAUUUUUGACCUGGUUUUUAAUAAUUUCUACGUUUUUUAGAUCAUUGCUUCGAAAUCUAGCUAGCCCGUACCUCUGAUUUCAAAACUGUUAAAGAUUUUGAUAGUUGUCAUUGUUGAAUAUAUGUUUUAUUUGAAGUUUGAUGAUGAAAUAUGAAAUUUUGAUGAUAGUUUUACAUGUUCGGUAAAGUGAUUUUGAGUAAAAAUGUCAAUUUUGGACUAAAUUAAGAAAAAUGAUAAAUCGUGUGGUAAAAGUGUGAAUAAAUGAAAAGUGUUGGCUUUUAUGGAAAUAAUAAAAAUUCAGCUAGCUUGGGUUUGUGUUUAAUUUUAUGAAAUUGUGAUUUUAUGUGACAAGGACUGAAUUGCAAAAAUGUGAAAGUAUAGGGGCAAAAGUGUAAAAUUGCCAUAAUGUGUAAAUUGUGUUAAAUUGAGUGAAUUAGUGAUUAAAUAAGGUAAUUUUUUUAUUAUAUAGAUUAAGAAAAACAAGAUUUGGACCUAGAAAUAGGACAAAAACUAUGUAUUGGAUUAGUCGACCUAAUUCAUCGUUUCAAUGAACGAGGUAAGUUCAUAUGUUAAAUAAUGUUCUUAAAUUGUGUUCUAAAUGUACAUUUAUCAUUGAAUUGAUAUGGAUAUUGAUUGGAUGAGUACAAGCAUGAAUGGAAAAAGUUACGACGUUUGAAAGUCCCGUACGAACAUUUGGAAUAGCUUAGGAUACUAAGAUGUGAUUACGUGUAAGACCAUGUCUGGGACAUUGGCAUUCUUACGUGAUUCGUGUAAGACCAUGUAUGGGACAUUGGCAUCGAUACGAGAUUCGUGUAAGACCAUGUCUGGGAUGUUGGCAGCGGUAUGAAAUUCGUGUAAGACCAUAGUUGGCUAUUGGCAUUGAUAUGUGAUAACAUUUAAGACCAUAUUUGGGAUAUGGCAUUGUGCGAGUUAUACGAGAUUUUUGAGUAUCCUUAGCAAUUCUUAAUGGUUCAACGGGGAAAUUCAAGACGAGAAUAAAAGUGUAAACGAAAUAAGUGGUACAGGUAUGUACGAUACUCAUACGUAUAUUGAAUGAAAGAAGAUUGAUAAAUAGAUGUGAGCUCGUGUAUAUUACAUGGAAAUGUUUGAGUUUAUGUAAGUGUUUGAUUUAUAUAAAUGCUUAUUGAGGAUAUCGAAUUUCACAUUAUGAGUAAGUGGAUAGUUAUGAGAAAUCCAUAUAGUUGGUUUAUGUGGCAUGUAUAGGCUAGUUGGUUUAUGAAGUGUAUAAGUGACCUUUGGCUAUUUAUUCAUAUGUGUUUGAUAUGUAUUUAGCCAUGAGAUUUGGCUUAAUAGUGAUGUAAAUUUUAAUGUGUAUAAGUUGUGUUCAUAUUAGUUUGGUAUGCAAAUUUCCUUGUGAAAUGGUAUAUCUUGGUAUGUUUGAUUAUGGUUCAAAUAGCUCAAUAGACAUUUGGUAAGUGACAUGUAUAUGUUUGGUUAUUUGUGGCUUGACCAUGAAUGCAAAUGUAGUGGAAAUGUGGCUUAAGAAAUGGUAUGUUUAAAUAUGAAUUUGAAAUGAUACUUUGGUAUGCCUUGGUUUGGUUUUAGACUGAAUGAUUCGGUUGGAUAUUUAGUUUGAAUUUAAGGCAUGUGAUAAAUGCAAUUGAUAGUAAGUGGUGAAUGAUGAAUCAUGUGGAGUUGGAGUGCUUUGAGCUAGUUUAUGGGCAUUUGAUGAGUAGUAAGGAAAUGGAUAUACAAUUGUAUGAAAUGUACAUGAAAUGGUCAUUUUUCGUUGCCUAUUAGAUGUUAAAUUGAUGCCGAAAUGAUGUGGUUUAGGUAUGCAUGUGAAAGGUGAGAAAUGUGGCUUAAACUAAGUCUAUUUUUGUGCCACAUGGUCUGAGCACACGGACGUGUGACUCAACCGUGUGACCUCUGUUACUUAGAAAAUUUUUACAAGUUUCAGAUAUUUUUAUAUGUGAUCAGUUUAGUCUCGAACCUUCCCUAAUGUUUGUUUAAGGUAUCGUAGACCUCUAAAAGGGAAAAUAUGUGUGUGAUUGAAUGAUUAUGUAUCAUAAUGCAAAAAUGUUUAAUUUAUAAUUGUAUAUUUGAAUGAUUAUGUUUCUGUAUAAUUGACUAUAGUUUCUCCGGCAAUGAAUGUGGCAUCCUAUAGCUCGGACCUAGCGAUCGGGUCAAGCGACGUGUGUUACACAAUGGGUAUUUUAGCAAAAGAAAAGGGGAUGAUGAGUAGAUUUUAACAAAGAGCUUCAAGGGCUUUAGAAUGAAAGAAGGAAUAAAUUUUAAAAUAGGAAAAUAGGUCUAACCAAGUUCGCAACUUGAAUAUUAAAGCUAAAUCCCAUUUCCUCCCCAAAUACUAGGCGCUCUUUUAGGAUUAGAGAUAUUUAAGAAAAAAACCUUAAACAGGUCAACAAGUGAUCUAUUCGCCCAUAAUCAACAAUACAAGCAAGCAAGCUAUAGAUAAGUCCAACCAUACAAAUCACUCUAAUCAUGGAAACUCAACAUUGGAGAGAUCAUGAAAUAAGCAUUGAGACUUCGACUUUUCUUUCGUGAUAAUAUGAACUCAAAGCUCGUGUUUCUUUCCAUUUAAUGGAACCAUUAAAGCAUAUAGAAUAUGAUACAUAAUUAGAUAUUAGAUAAGACAUGGAAGAUACAAAAUAUAACAAGUCAACCGAAUUACUGAAUUUACUUAUAAUUUAAAAUUUUAGUUGUAUAUAUUUAUAUUUUGAAUUUAAAUUUAAAUUAUAUUAUAAUAUAAAUAGUUUUAAAUGUAUUUUAUGAAAUUAUCAAAUGAUAAUUUCAUAUGUGAUAAUAAAACUUGUAUACUUAUAUAUAGUCACCUAAUAAAAUAAAAAAGAAGAUAAACCUUGAGAAUUUCUAUCUUAUCAAUAUUACUUUGUACGUCUCAAAAUUCAAAUGUAAAAAACAAACUCUUAAACAAUAACCAAAUAAAGGUUUUGUUAUAAGUAUCAAUAUGAUUACUAACAAUUUUUUUAAUUCACUAUUUUAAAAUAAAAAUGCAAGUAUAAACAAACAUUAACUAUUCAAUUAGAUUUUGAUUCCAAAGAAAAAAAUCAUAACAAAUAGAAGUUAAACAAGCCUAAUAAAAAAUAGAACAAAACCUUAAUAUAGUAUUGUGAGAUGUUAAAGGUUCAAUUUUAGUUCAUAAGAAAAUCACUUCUCUUACAUGCACAUAUUAUAUAUAUAUAUCAAUCUUUUAAUAAACAAAGAUAACAAGUUAUAAGAAAAUAUUAAAAAUAAAAAGUGAAAGAUGGCAUGCCAAGAUCUUGUUGUUGUUGUUGCACUUGUUUUCAUGGUUGUUGUUGGGGCAUUUGCUGUCGAAUCGUCACCUUCACCAGUCCCUUCCAAGGAAUCUUCACCUUCGAAGUCACCAUCUCCUUCUUCUCUGGCUUCAUCCCCCAAGUCCCCCUCCAUUAAGUCACCGUCACAAGACUCCAAUGGCUCAUCUUUUUCACCAUCAAAAUCCCACGAAGGAGCACCCAAGUCAUCUCAUCCUGG